AGUUUGAUCAGUGGCUCAGUAUUAGAACGCUGGCGGAAUGCUUUACACAUGCAAGUCGAGGCGGCAGCGCGGGGCAACCUGGCGGCGAGCGGCGAACGGGUGAGUAAUGCAUCGGAACAUGUCCAUGUCGGUGGGGAUAGCCCGGCGAAAGCCGGAUUAAUACCGCAUACGCCCGAGAGGGGAAAGCAGGGGACCGCAAGGCCUUGCGCGAUUGGGUUGGCCGAUGUCCGAUUAGCUUGUUGGUGAGGUAAAGGCUUACCAAGGCGAUGAUCGGUAGCUGGUCUGAGAGGAUGAUCAGCCACACUGGGACUGAGACACGGCCCAGACUCCUACGGGAGGCAGCAGUGGGGAAUUUGGACAAUGGGGGCAACCCUGAUCCAGCCAUUCCGCGUGAGUGAAGAAGGCCUUCGGGUUGUAAAGCUCUUUUGUCCGGAGCGAAACGGGCGGCCCUAAUACGGUCGUCUACUGACGGUACCGGAAGAAUAAGCACCGGCUAACUACGUG
This 504-nucleotide ribosomal RNA is filed under the name uncultured bacterium. RNAcentral describes it as "bacterial SSU rRNA". It matches the Rfam family "Bacterial small subunit ribosomal RNA", at positions 10 to 507 of the family's 1533-position model. The record is from RNAcentral.